RNAcentral lists this ribosomal RNA (206 nucleotides) under uncultured bacterium. RNAcentral describes it as "partial 16S ribosomal RNA". It matches the Rfam family "Bacterial small subunit ribosomal RNA", at positions 568 to 774 of the family's 1533-position model. The record is from RNAcentral.
UGCGUAGGCGGCUUUGCAAGUCAGAUGUGAAAUCUAUGGGCUCAACCCAUAAACUGCAUUUGAAACUGUAGAGCUUGAGUGAAGUAGAGGUAGGCGGAAUUCCCCGUGUAGCGGUGAAAUGCGUAGAGAUGGGGAGGAACACCAGUGGCGAAGGCGGCCUGCUGGGCUUUAACUGACGCUGAGGCACGAAAGCGUGGUAGCAAACA